Molecule: ribosomal RNA, 351 nt
Filed under: uncultured bacterium
Lineage: Bacteria
Description: bacterial SSU rRNA
Rfam family: Bacterial small subunit ribosomal RNA
Source: RNAcentral
GAGUUUUGAUCAUGGCUCAGGAUGAACGCUAGCGGCAGGCUUAACACAUGCAAGUCGAGGGGCAGCGGGGAGUAGCAAUACUCCGCCGGCGACCGGCGCACGGGUGCGUAACGCGUAUGCAACCUACCUUUAACAGGGGCAUAACACUGAGAAAUUGGUACUAAUUCCCCAUAACAUUCGAGAAGGCAUCUUCUUGGGUUAAAAACUCCGGUGGUUAAAGAUGGGGCAUGCGUUGUAUUAGCUAGUUGGUGAGGUAACGGCUCACCAAGGCAACGAUACAUAGGGGGACUGAGAGGUUAACCCCCCCACAUUGGUACUGAGACACGGACCAAACUCCUACGGGAGGCAGCA